UCUCCUGGAAACGGGUGGUAAUGCCGGAUGCUCCGCCCCCUCGCAUGGGGGGUCGGGAAGGCUUUUGCGGAAUGGGAUGGGGUCGCGUCCUAUCAGCUUGUUGGCGGGGCGACGGCCCACCAAGGCUUCGACGGGUAGCCGGCCUGAGAGGGCGACCGGCCACAUUGGGACUGAGAUACGGCCCAGACUCCUACGGGAGGCAGCAGUGGGGAAUAUUGCACAAUGGGGGGAACCCUGAUGCAGCGACGCCGCGUGCGGGAUGGAGGCCUUCGGGUCGUGAACCGCUUUUGAUUGGGAGCAAGCGUGAGUGAGUGUACCUUUCGAAUAAGCACCGGCUAACUACGUGCCAGCAGCCGCGGUAAUACGUAGGGUGCAAGCGUUGUCCGGAAUCAUUGGGCGUAAAGGGCUCGUAGGCGGUUCGUCGCGUCCGGUGUGAAAGCCCAUCGCUUAACGGUGGGUCUGCGCCGGGUACGGGCGGGCUUGAGUGCGGCAGGGGAGGCUGGAAUUCCCGGGUGUAACGGUGGAAUGUUGUAGAUAUCGGGAAAGAAACACCA
RNAcentral lists this ribosomal RNA (554 nucleotides) under uncultured Bifidobacterium sp. Its description in RNAcentral is "bacterial SSU rRNA". It matches the Rfam family "Bacterial small subunit ribosomal RNA", at positions 146 to 711 of the family's 1533-position model. Lineage: Bacteria; Bacillati; Actinomycetota; Actinomycetes; Bifidobacteriales; Bifidobacteriaceae. The record is from RNAcentral.